This 253-nucleotide ribosomal RNA is filed under the name uncultured bacterium. RNAcentral describes it as "partial 16S ribosomal RNA". It matches the Rfam family "Bacterial small subunit ribosomal RNA", at positions 524 to 776 of the family's 1533-position model. The record is from RNAcentral.
UACGGAGGGUGCAAGCGUUGUUCGGAAUUACUGGGCGUAAAGGGCGCGUAGGCGGUGUGGUAAGUCAGAUGUGAAAGCCCUGGGCUUAACCCAGGAAGUGCAUUUGAAACUGCCAUGCUUGAGUAUGGGAGAGGAGAGUGGAAUUCCCAGUGUAGAGGUGAAAUUCGUAGAUAUUGGGAGGAACACCCGUGGCGAAGGCGACUCUCUGGACCAAUACUGACGCUGAGGCGCGAAAGCGUGGGGACCAAACAGG